UGUAGCUCAGUGGUAGAGUGCUUGCCUAGCAUGCAUGAGGCCCUGGGUUCAAUCUCCCCAGUA
Molecule: transfer RNA, 63 nt
Filed under: Heterocephalus glaber (naked mole-rat)
Lineage: Eukaryota; Metazoa; Chordata; Mammalia; Rodentia; Bathyergidae
Rfam family: tRNA
About the family: Transfer RNA (tRNA) molecules are approximately 80 nucleotides in length.
Source: Rfam by way of RNAcentral